RNAcentral lists this ribosomal RNA (2314 nucleotides) under Salmonella enterica subsp. enterica serovar Weltevreden. RNAcentral describes it as "bacterial LSU rRNA". It matches the Rfam family "Bacterial large subunit ribosomal RNA", at positions 14 to 2236 of the family's 2925-position model. The record is from RNAcentral. Lineage: Bacteria; Pseudomonadati; Pseudomonadota; Gammaproteobacteria; Enterobacterales; Enterobacteriaceae.
AGCGUACACGGUGGAUGCCCUGGCAGUCAGAGGCGAUGAAGGGCGUGCUAAUCUGCGAUAAGCGCCGGUAAGGUGAUAUGAACCGUUAUAACCGGCGAUACCCGAAUGGGGAAACCCAGUGUGAUUCGUCACACUAUCAUUAACUGAAUCCAUAGGUUAAUGAGGCGAACCGGGGGAACUGAAACAUCUAAGUACCCCGAGGAAAAGAAAUCAACCGAGAUUCCCCCAGUAGCGGCGAGCGAACGGGGAGGAGCCCAGAGCCUGAAUCAGCAUGUGUGUUAGUGGAAGCGUCUGGAAAGGCGCGCGAUACAGGGUGACAGCCCCGUACACAAAAGCGCAUGUGCUGUGAGCUCGAUGAGUAGGGCGGGACACGUGGUAUCCUGUCUGAAUAUGGGGGGACCAUCCUCCAAGGCUAAAUACUCCUGACUGACCGAUAGUGAACCAGUACCGUGAGGGAAAGGCGAAAAGAACCCCGGCGAGGGGAGUGAAAAAGAACCUGAAACCGUGUACGUACAAGCAGUGGGAGCCCCACCACCAAAGCGUUUCGCUUUGUGUGGUGCACAAAGAAGCGUAACGACAGCACUGAAUGACGGUUAACGGAGCGCAAGCGACGUUCAACAUACAAAGUCAAGCAGUGGAGCGCUUUGGGGUGGGGUGACUGCGUACCUUUUGUAUAAUGGGUCAGCGACUUAUAUUCUGUAGCAAGGUUAACCGAAUAGGGGAGCCGGAGGGAAACCGAGUCUUAACCGGGCGUUAAGUUGCAGGGUAUAGACCCGAAACCCGGUGAUCUAGCCAUGGGCAGGUUGAAGGUUGGGUAACACUAACUGGAGGACCGAACCGACUAAUGUUGAAAAAUUAGCGGAUGACCUGUGGCUGGGGGUGAAAGGCCAAUCAAACCGGGAGAUAGCUGGUUCUCCCCGAAAGCUAUUUAGGUAGCGCCUCGUGAAUUCAUCUCCGGGGGUAGAGCACUGUUUCGGCUAGGGGGCCAUCCCGGCUUACCAACCCGAUGCAAACUGCGAAUACCGGAGAAUGUUAUCACGGGAGACACACGGCGGGUGCUAACGUCCGUCGUGAAGAGGGAAACAACCCAGACCGCCAGCUAAGGUCCCAAAGUCAUGGUUAAGUGGGAAACGAUGUGGGAAGGCCCAGACAGCCAGGAUGUUGGCUUAGAAGCAGCCAUCAUUUAAAGAAAGCGUAAUAGCUCACUGGUCGAGUCGGCCUGCGCGGAAGAUGUAACGGGGCUAAACCAUGCACCGAAGCUGCGGCAGCGACGCUUAUGCGUUGUUGGGUAGGGGAGCGUUCUGUAAGCCUGUGAAGGUGGCCUGUGAGGGUUGCUGGAGGUAUCAGAAGUGCGAAUGCUGACAUAAGUAACGAUAAAGCGGGUGAAAAGCCCGCUCGCCGGAAGACCAAGGGUUCCUGUCCAACGUUAAUCGGGGCAGGGUGAGUCGACCCCUAAGGCGAGGCCGAAAGGCGUAGUCGAUGGGAAACGGGUUAAUAUUCCCGUACUUGGUGUUACUGCGAAGGGGGGACGGAGAAGGCUAUGUUGGCCGGGCGACGGUUGUCCCGGUUUAAGCGUGUAGGUGUGUGUUCCAGGUAAAUCCGGUUCACUUUAACACUGAGGCGUGACGACGAGGCACUACGGUGCUGAAGCAACAAAUGCCCUGCUUCCAGGAAAAGCCUCUAAGCAUCAGGUAACAUCAAAUCGUACCCCAAACCGACACAGGUGGUCAGGUAGAGAAUACCAAGGCGCUUGAGAGAACUCGGGUGAAGGAACUAGGCAAAAUGGUGCCGUAACUUCGGGAGAAGGCACGCUGACACGUAGGUGAAGUGAUUUACUCAUGGAGCUGAAGUCAGUCGAAGAUACCAGCUGGCUGCAACUGUUUAUUAAAAACACAGCACUGUGCAAACACGAAAGUGGACGUAUACGGUGUGACGCCUGCCCGGUGCCGGAAGGUUAAUUGAUGGGGUCAGCGCAAGCGAAGCUCCUGAUCGAAGCCCCGGUAAACGGCGGCCGUAACUAUAACGGUCCUAAGGUAGCGAAAUUCCUUGUCGGGUAAGUUCCGACCUGCACGAAUGGCGUAAUGAUGGCCAGGCUGUCUCCACCCGAGACUCAGUGAAAUUGAACUCGCUGUGAAGAUGCAGUGUACCCGCGGCAAGACGGAAAGACCCCGUGAACCUUUACUAUAGCUUGACACUGAACAUUGAGCCUUGAUGUGUAGGAUAGGUGGGAGGCUUUGAAGCGUGGACGCCAGUCUGCGUGGAGCCGACCUUGAAAUACCACCCUUUAAUGUUUGAUGUUCUAACGUGGACCCGU